AUGGAACCUUGUUCACCACUUGGCAUGAACUCAACACAACCAUCUGUAGCAUUUCCUCCCAUUGCAGCUGCAUGGUUUUUCAAGCAUUCUCUGUACUUGACCACCACUUGUGAUAACGGUUUCUUGGCGGCUGAGGAAGAUGUUAUGAUGUUAUUGUGGCUGUUGAUUUUGACUUGUGUUUGUGUUUCCCUUUGUGAACAGGAUUUCAUAAUCGAAGAAAGGAUUUAA
Molecule: non-coding RNA, 228 nt
Organism: Vicia faba (fava bean)
Lineage: Eukaryota; Viridiplantae; Streptophyta; Magnoliopsida; Fabales; Fabaceae
Source: the annotation of a GenBank genome assembly